AUUGAACGCUGGCGGCAGGCCUAACACAUGCAAGUCGAACGGUAACAGGAAGAAGCUUGCUUCUUUGCUGACGAGUGGCGGACGGGUGAGUAAUGUCUGGGAAACUGCCUGAUGGAGGGGGAUAACUACUGGAAACGGUAGCUAAUACCGCAUAACGUCGCAAGACCAAAGAGGGGGACCUUCGGGCCUCUUGCCAUCGGAUGUGCCCAGAUGGGAUUAGCUAGUAGGUGGGGUAACGGCUCACCUAGGCGACGAUCCCUAGCUGGUCUGAGAGGAUGACCAGCCACACUGGAACUGAGACACGGUCCAGACUCCUACGGGAGGCAGCAGUGGGGAAUAUUGCACAAUGGGCGCAAGCCUGAUGCAGCCAUGCCGCGUGUAUGAAGAAGGCCUUCGGGUUGUAAAGUACUUUCAGCGGGGAGGAAGGGAGUAAAGUUAACACCUUUGCUCAUUGACGUUACCCGCAGAAGAAGCACCGGCUAACUCCGUG
Molecule: ribosomal RNA, 490 nt
Filed under: uncultured bacterium
Lineage: Bacteria
Description: partial 16S ribosomal RNA
Rfam family: Bacterial small subunit ribosomal RNA
Source: RNAcentral